Molecule: long non-coding RNA, 1621 nt
Filed under: Cucumis sativus (cucumber)
Lineage: Eukaryota; Viridiplantae; Streptophyta; Magnoliopsida; Cucurbitales; Cucurbitaceae
Description: long non-coding RNA (CSAT_LNC001391)
Source: RNAcentral
AUUUGUAGUAGUAUGGGGGAGGAGGAGAAGGUGAAGGAGGGGGAGGAGACUUGUAAUAGUAUGGCGGAGGAGGUGAUGGGGAUGGUGGUGGUGGAGACUUGUAGUAGUAUGGUGGAGGAGGUGACGGCGAUGGUGGUGGGGGAGAUUUGUAGUAGUAUGGAGGAGGAGGUGAUGGUGAUGGUGGUGGUGGAGAUUUGUAGUAGUAUGGUGGAGGAGGUGAUGGUGAUGGUGGUGGUGGAGACUUGUAGUAGUAUGGAGGUGGGGGAGAUGGGGAAGGUGGUGGUGGAGACUUGUAGUAGUAUGGUGGGGGAGGAGAGUAUACUGGAGGUGGAGGUGAUUUGUAGUAGUAUGGUGGAGGAGGAGAGUAGACGGGUGGAGGAGGUGACUUGUAGUAGUAAGGCGGGGGAGGAGAGUAGACUGGAGGAGGAGGUGAUUUGUAGUAGUAUGGUGGGGGUGGCGAGUAGACUGGAGGAGGAGGUGACUUGUAGUAGUAUGGUGGUGGAGGAGAGUAGACGGGUGGAGGUGGUGACUUGUAAUAGUAUGGUGGGGGUGGCGAGUAAACUGGAGGAGGAGGUGACUUGUAGUAGUAUGGUGGUGGAGGAGAGUAGACGGGUGGAGGUGGUGACUUGUAGUAGUAUGGUGGGGGAGGAGAGUAAACGGGUGGAGGUGGUGACUUGUAGUAGUAUGGUGGGGGAGGAGAGUAGACAGGUGGGGGUGGUGACUUGUAGUAGUAUGGUGGGGGAGGAGAGUAGACAGGUGGGGGUGGUGACUUGUAGUAGUAUGGUGGGGGAGGAGAGUAGACAGGUGGAGGUGGUGACUUGUAGUAGUAUGGUGGGGGAGGAGAGUAGACGGGUGGAGGUGGUGACUUGUAGUAGUAUGGUGGUGGUGGAGAGUAGACUGGAGGAGGAGGUGACUUGUAGUAAUAUGGUGGUGGAGGAGAGUAGACGGGUGGAGGAGGUGACUUGUAGUAGUAUGGUGGGGGAGGAGAGUAGACGGGUGGAGGUGGUGACUUGUAGUAGUAUGGUGGUGGUGGAGAGUAUACUGGAGGUGGUGGUGAUUUGUAGUAGUAUGGUGGAGGUGGAGAGUAUACUGGAGGUGGUGGUGACUUGUAGUAGUAUGGUGGAGGUGGAGAGUAUACUGGAGGAGGUGGUGAUUUGUAGUAGUAUGGUGGGGGAGGAGAGUACACUGGAGGUGGUGGUGAUUUGUAGUAGUAUGGUGGAGGUGGAGAGUAUACUGGAGGAGGUGGUGACUUGUAGUAGUAUGGUGGAGGAGGGGAAUAUACUGGAGGCGGUGGUGACUUGUAAUAGUACACAGGUGAAGGUGGGGGAGGUGACUUGUAGAUAGGUGAUGGAGGAGGUGGAGACUUGUAGUAGUAAGUUGGUGAUGGAGGAGGUGGGGACUUGUAGUAGUAAGUCGGGGACGGGGGAGGUGGCGACUUGUAGUAGUAAACAGGGGUAGGUGGAGGUGGGGACUUGUAGACGUAGGGAGGUGGGUAGUAAGGCUUAGGCUUCAUGCACUCCUUGUAAGGCUUCUUUGGAGCAUAUGCAAAAGGCUUAGCGUACAACACAACCUCAUACUUAGUCUUAGACUUGACCCUUAGCUUGGCGCCAACUUUGCCCCA